AGCAGCCGCGGUAAUUCCAGCUCCAAUAGCGUAUAUUAAAGUUGUUGUGGUUAAAAAGCUCGUAGUUGAACCUUGGGCCUGGCUGGCCGGUCCGCCUCACCGCGUGUACUGGUCCGGCCGGGCCUUUCCCUCUGUGGAACCCAUGCCCUUCACUGGGUGUGGCGGGGAAACAGGACUUUUACUGUGAAAAAAUUAGAGUGCUCCAGGCAGGCCUAUGCUCGAAUACAUUAGCAUGGAAUAAUAGAAUAGGACGUGUGGUUCUAUUUUGUUGGUUUCUAGGACCGCCGUAAUGAUUAAUAGGGACAGUCGGGGGGCAUCAGUAUUCAAUUGUCAGAGGUGAAAUUCUUGGAUUUAUUGAAGACUAACUACUGCGAAAGCAUUUGCCAAGGAUGUUUUCAUUAAUCAGGAACGAAAGUUAGGGGAUCGAAGACGAUCAGAUACCGUCGUAGUCUUAACCAUAAACUAUGCCGACUAGGGAUCGG
RNAcentral lists this ribosomal RNA (482 nucleotides) under uncultured Paraglomus. Its description in RNAcentral is "SSU rRNA". It matches the Rfam family "Eukaryotic small subunit ribosomal RNA", at positions 569 to 1056 of the family's 1831-position model. Lineage: Eukaryota; Fungi; Glomeromycota; Glomeromycetes; Paraglomerales; Paraglomeraceae. The record is from RNAcentral.